Molecule: ribosomal RNA, 446 nt
Filed under: uncultured bacterium
Lineage: Bacteria
Description: partial 16S ribosomal RNA
Rfam family: Bacterial small subunit ribosomal RNA
Source: RNAcentral
CCUACGGGGGGCAGCAGUCGAGAAUCAUUCACAAUGGGGGAAACCCUGAUGGUGCGACGCCGCGUGGGGGAAUGAAGGUCUUCGGAUUGUAAACCCCUGUCAUGUGGGAGCAAAUUAAAAAGAUAGUACCACAAGAGGAAGAGACGGCUAACUCUGUGCCAGCAGCCGCGGUAAUACAGAGGUUUCAAGCGUUGUUCGGAAUCACUGGGCGUAAAGCGUGCGUAGGCUGUUUCGUAAGUCGUGUGUGAAAGGUGCGGGCUCAACCCGCGGACGGCACAUGAUACUGCGAGACUAGAGUAAUGUAGGGGGAACCGGAAUUCUCGGUGUAGCAGUGAAAUGCGUAGAGAUCGAGAGGAACACUCGUGGCGAAGGCGGGUUCCUGGACAUUAACUGACGCUGAGGCACGAAGGCCAGGGGAGCGAAAGGGAUUAGAUACCCCUGUAGUC